Molecule: long non-coding RNA, 987 nt
Organism: Oncorhynchus tshawytscha (Chinook salmon)
Lineage: Eukaryota; Metazoa; Chordata; Actinopteri; Salmoniformes; Salmonidae
Source: Ensembl
GUCAGACACGCCCGCUUUACGUUAGUCCGGGAACCAUGGCAAUGACAGUUGGUUAGCUAGCGUGUCGCCGCUUAGAAAAGGUCUGACUGCACGAACGAUAUCUACAGUUCACUGUUGCAGUGCUGCCUUUGGGAGCAUGUGGUCCUUGAAACACUUCUCUAGUCCAGCAAUAUGAGUGUGCCAGAGGUCGUCACGCUGGACGGGAGGCUGUGGUGGUCCACGAUAACGAAGGAGCAGGUGUCCCUUCCAGUGAUGUGGAACUGACCUUGGACUUGGACCUGGUGCCAGGAAGGAUGGUCUUCACAGAGGCAGUAAGACCUUCCCUCCGCUUGGAUAUAGAAAUCAUUCGACCUCCUCUUCAAUGGUCAGGUCCCUUUUAGGCACCAUAGGAACACUUGACCUCCACCACCAGACCAUCCGGUGAGGCACCCAGGAUCCCAGACCGUUUGGUGAGGGGCACCCAGGAUCCCAGACCGUCCGGUGAGGCACCCAGGAUCCCAGACCGUUCGGUGAGAGGCACCCAGGAUCCCAGACCGUUCGGUGAGGGGCACCCAGGAUCCCAGACCAUCCGUUGAGGCACCCAGGAUCCCGGACCGUCCGGUGAAGCACCCAGGAUCCCAGACCGUUCGGUGAGGGGCACCCAGGAUCCCAGACCGUUCGGUGAGGCACCCAGGAUCCCAGACCGUCCGGUGAGGCACCCAGACCGUCUGGUGAGGGGCACCCAGGAUCCCGGACCGUCUGGUGAAUUUCACCCAGGAUCCCAGACCGUCUGGUGAAUUUCACCCAGGACCCCAGACCGUCUGGUGAAGGGCACCCAGGAUCCCCUCCCUCUUUGUCAUCUGUCCCCCACAUUAUAGACAGUUUGUUUCCCAUAAACUUUUAAUUCAUAACUUUGGAUUUUUUACCACUUGCCAUAUCAAUCAUAAUAGUGGGAAGGAGCCUACAGAUCCAGACUGUGUGAGGGCAUGUACCACUCAGAAUAAAUAA